Molecule: unclassified non-coding RNA, 537 nt
Filed under: Hevea brasiliensis (rubber tree)
Lineage: Eukaryota; Viridiplantae; Streptophyta; Magnoliopsida; Malpighiales; Euphorbiaceae
Source: RNAcentral
ACAGUAUUGCCUGGAAUUGUCGAAGCUGAUGUAUCUGCUAAAUCAGGCCGGGAAAAGGCAAUAGACUGCCCAGCAUUUAGCUGAGCCUUUCCUCCUGGAAUGACCUUUCUCUCCUCUCCUACAUUCGAGCCAUCAUUUCCACCAGUUUUCCCUUCUUCAGAAACGUGGUAAUUCUUCUUCUGAUGUGCUGCUUGGGCAACUGCAGUAGCUGCAAUGAAGUGAAACCCAUGCCUUGCCGCCUCUGGGACACUUUGCAAAAAAGCAUGAUUUUGUGCAAUUGAUGAAAUAUCAAGGCUUGGAGCAUUAGUGGCUCCAUUAAUGGGGGCAAAUGACAUGGCAAAAGCCUGAGAAGUUUCAACCCCGACCUUAGAGCCCUGUGGCUGUGACUGCUGCUGUUUCUUUUCACCAGGAUUGCCACUUGCAGUAGUGGCACCACCCACUGUUGGUGGAGUCAUCAAAGCAAAGUUUGGUGGGUGUAUGGGCAUUGCAAAAUUCUGACCAUAAAUACUCAUAUUUGCACGAGAGACUCGACUAUCA